This is a non-coding RNA of Misgurnus anguillicaudatus (oriental weatherfish), 797 nucleotides long. The record is from RefSeq and is a predicted model, not a curated record. Lineage: Eukaryota; Metazoa; Chordata; Actinopteri; Cypriniformes; Cobitidae.
UGCCAGAUGCUGUCCUGUCAGAAAUUCUUCUUUACGUGGUCCUGGAGGAGGGUGAUGCUGCAUUGUUAAAUCUCUCUUUUGUUUGUUCCAAAUUCAGAAAUCUGGUGGACAGGCACACUUCUGCUGGCUUGAUGGUGUACAACUAAAUGGAGAACAAAGUCUGAGCCAUCCCAGGAAUUUUAGAAAAUAUAUACACUGCAGCCGACACCGCAAUGAAGUGUACAAUAACUGCUUACCAGGCUAUGUUGGAAGAGGAAAACGAGGAGAGAUGCAAGGCUUUUACUCUGAAAACACCCAUCCAGGGUUUUGCAGUUAGUGGUGCAUGAUGCUACAGGAGGAAUAACUCUGUAUAACACAUCUUCUAAAAGUUCUGUUCUAAAAGUCUUGUAAAUACCUCCAGGAUUGUUGUUCAUGAUUCUGAUUUCUGACAACAACUAGGGAGCGCCCCUAAUAUUAUGUUUAUAUAUGUAUAUGUAUAUGAAGUUUCUUUGUCUCAGAUCUCUUCUGCAAAUCAUGCACCAAAGGGUACUGUAUUUCUUAUGUUUUAUAUCUUAAGGACCACAAUGGAAAUAAGCCUAUGGGCUUUUUGUAUUUUUAUCCUUUUGAACACUUCAUGUUGAUUGUUGUUCAAUAAAGUAUUUAAUCAAUUCAAUCAAUCAAAAUCUGUCUAAUACGUGUAUCCAAAGCUUUCUACUCUAAUUAACUUUUAAUACAAAACAGUAUUUGUGUCUUUUAUUAACAAUAUAUUCUCAACUCUUUGAUAAUAAUACUUUGCAUUAAAGCAACACUUGGAAUAU